RNAcentral lists this ribosomal RNA (448 nucleotides) under uncultured bacterium. RNAcentral describes it as "bacterial SSU rRNA". It matches the Rfam family "Bacterial small subunit ribosomal RNA", at positions 202 to 635 of the family's 1533-position model. The record is from RNAcentral.
GCGGGGGAUCGCAAGACCUCGCGCGAUAGGAGCGGCCGAUGUCAGAUUAGCUAGUUGGUGAGGUAAAGGCUCACCAAGGCGACGAUCUGUAGCGGGUCUGAGAGGACGGCCCGCCACACUGGAACUGAGACACGGUCCAGACUCCUACGGGAGGCAGCAGUGGGGAAUUUUGGACAAUGGGCGCAAGCCUGAUCCAGCCAUUCCGCGUGAGUGAAGAAGGCCUUCGGGUUGUAAAGCUCUUUCGGCAGGAACGAAACGCUCUGGGCUAAUACCCCGGGGUAAUGACGGUACCUGAAGAAGAAGCACCGGCUAACUACGUGCCAGCAGCCGCGGUAAUACGUAGGGUGCGAGCGUUAAUCGGAAUUACUGGGCGUAAAGCGUGCGCAGGCGGUUUUGUAAGACAGAUGUGAAAUCCCCGGGCUUAACCUGGGAACUGCGUUUGUGACUG